AGCUGCGGCAGCGACACUUAGGUGUUGUUGGGUAGGGGAGCGUUCUGUAAGCCGUUGAAGGUGACCUGUGAGGGUUGCUGGAGGUAUCAGAAGUGCGAAUGCUGACAUAAGUAACGAUAAUGCGGGUGAAAAACCCGCACGCCGGAAGACCAAGGGUUCCUGUCCAACGUUAAUCGGGGCAGGGUGAGUCGACCCCUAAGGCGAGGCUGAAAAGCGUAGUCGAUGGGAAACAGGUUAAUAUUCCUGUACUUGGUGUUACUGCGAAGGGGGGACGGAGAAGGCUAGGCUGGCCGGGCGACGGUUGUCCCGGUUUAAGCGUGUAGGGGGAGUGACCAGGUAAAUCCGGUUGCUUAUCAACCCUGAGGCGUGAUGACGAUGCACCACGGUGCAGAAGCAGUUGAUGCCAUGCUUCCAGGAAAAGCCUCUAAGCAUCAGGUAACAUUAAAUCGUACCCCAAACCGACACAGGUGGUCAGGUAGAGAAUACUCAGGCGCUUGAGAGAACUCGGGUGAAGGAACUAGGCAAAAUGGUGCCGUAACUUCGGGAGAAGGCACGCUGGCGUUAGGUGAAAGGACUAGCUCCUGGAGCUGAAGCCAGUCGCAGAUACCAGCUGGCUGCAACUGUUUAAUAAAAACACAGCACUGUGCAAACACGAAAGUGGACGUAUACGGUGUGACGCCUGCCCGGUGCUGGAAGGUUAAUUGAUGGGGUCAGCCGCAAGGCGAAGCUCUUGAUCGAAGCCCCAGUAAACGGCGGCCGUAACUAUAACGGUCCUAAGGUAGCGAAAUUCCUUGUCGGGUAAGUUCCGACCUGCACGAAUGGCGUAAUGAUGGCCAGGCUGUCUCCACCCGAGACUCAGUGAAAUUGAACUCGCUGUGAAGAUGCAGUGUACCCGCGGCAAGACGGAAAGACCCCGUGAACCUUUACUAUAGCUUGACACUGAACAUUGAGCCUUGAUGUGUAGGAUAGGUGGGAGGCCUUGAAGUGUGGACGCCAGUCUGCAUGGAGCCAACCUUGAGAUACCACCCUUUAAUGUUUGAUGUUCUAACUCGGCCCCAUGAUCUGGGGUGAGGACAGUGUCUGGUGGGUAGUUUGACUGGGGCGGUCUCCUCCCAAAGAGUAACGGAGGAGCACGAAGGUUAGCUAAUCACGGUCGGACAUCGUGAGGUUAGUGCAAAGGCAUAAGCUAGCUUGACUGCGAGAGUGACGGCUCGAGCAGGUACGAAAGUAGGUCUUAGUGAUCCGGUGGUUCUGAAUGGAAGGGCCAUCGCUCAACGGAUAAAAGGUACUCCGGGGAUAACAGGCUGAUACCGCCCAAGAGUUCAUAUCGACGGCGGUGUUUGGCACCUCGAUGUCGGCUCAUCACAUCCUGGGGCUGAAGUAGGUCCCAAGGGUAUGGCUGUUCGCCAUUUAAAGUGGUACGCGAGCUGGGUUUAGAACGUCGUGAGACAGUUCGGUCCCUAUCUGCCGUGGGCGUUGGAAGAUUGAGAGGGGCUGCUCCUAGUACGAGAGGACCGGAGUGGACGAAUCACUGGUGUUCGGGUUGUCAUGCCAAUGGCAUUGCCCGGUAGCUAAAUUCGGAAGAGAUAACCGCUGAAAGCAUCUAAGCGGGAAACUUGCCUCGAGAUGAGUCUUCCCUGGGGCUUAAAGCCCCCUGAAGGAACGUUAAAGACUAUGACGUUGAUAGGCUGGGUGUGUAAGUGCAGCGAUGUAUUGAGCUAACCAGUACUAAUGAUCCGUGAGGCUUAACC
Molecule: ribosomal RNA, 1751 nt
Filed under: Yersinia pestis EV76-CN
Lineage: Bacteria; Pseudomonadati; Pseudomonadota; Gammaproteobacteria; Enterobacterales; Yersiniaceae
Description: bacterial LSU rRNA
Rfam family: Bacterial large subunit ribosomal RNA
Source: RNAcentral